This 497-nucleotide ribosomal RNA is filed under the name uncultured bacterium. RNAcentral describes it as "partial 16S ribosomal RNA". It matches the Rfam family "Bacterial small subunit ribosomal RNA", at positions 28 to 507 of the family's 1533-position model. The record is from RNAcentral.
GAUGAACGCUGGCGGCGUGCCUAAUACAUGCAAGUCGAGCGAACGGACGCGAAGCUUGCUUCGCUGACGUUAGCGGCGGACGGGUGAGUAACACGUGGAUAACCUACCUAUAAGACUGGUAUCAUUUCGGGAAACCGGAGCUAAUACCGGAUAAUAUUCUGCACCGCAUGGUUCAAAAGUGAAAGUCGGUCUUGCUGGAUGUUCUAGCUGGAUCCGCGCUUCAUUAUCUAGUUGGUAAGUUAACGGCUUACCAAGGCUACGAUGCAUAGCCGACCUGAGAGGGUGAUCGGCCACACUGGAACUGAGACACGGUCCAGACUCCUACGGGAGGCAGCAGUAGGGAAUCUUCCGCAAUGGGCGAAAGCCUGACGGAGCAACGCCGCGUGAGUGAUGAAGGUCUUCGGAUCGUAAAACUCUGUUAUUAGGGAAGAACAUAUGUGUAAGUAACUGUGCACAUCUUGACGGUACCUAAUCAGAAAGCCACGGCUAACUACGUG